UACGUAGGGUGCGAGCGUUGUCCGGAAUUAUUGGGCGUAAAGAGCUCGUAGGCGGCUUGUCGCGUCGGAUGUGAAAGCCCGGGGCUUAACUCCGGGUCUGCAUUCGAUACGGGCAGGCUAGAGUUCGGUAGGGGAGAUCGGAAUUCCUGGUGUAGCGGUGAAAUGCGCAGAUAUCAGAGGAACACCGGUGGCGAAGGCGGAAUCUCUGGGCCGAUACUGACGCUGAGGAGCGAAAGCGUGGGGAGCGAACAGG
RNAcentral lists this ribosomal RNA (253 nucleotides) under uncultured bacterium. RNAcentral describes it as "partial 16S ribosomal RNA". It matches the Rfam family "Bacterial small subunit ribosomal RNA", at positions 524 to 776 of the family's 1533-position model. The record is from RNAcentral.